AGUUGCUUUGGAUAAAACUGUCAAGCGAAUGCUUGAAUUUUAAUUGUCAAGUCUGAUCAUACAGUACGUCUCAAAGUUAAACGUUUCACAAUGGGUAGGACAGAUGUUAAGAAUGUUAAAACCCACCAAAGUGCUGUGAUAAAGGGUAAAUAUUGCUGGAUUUGCUGCUGAAGUUCUGAUAACCCAGCUUUAUCACCUUUUGUGCAGGACUCUUCAUAAGACUGAUUGAUGAUGACUACCUUACUCUUAUCAAACCAUUUCUUUUCCUUAAGACUUCUCUUCGGAAGUAACCUAAGAUGCACUGUAAUACAAUAGAGAUUUCCUGCUCUCUUUGUCCAGGGGAUUGUGGUAUGCCAGUGGAGGGCACGGUGUGAACGGAGAGGGCAGGGGAACAUGAAUAGGUCUGCUCUGCUGGGACUGGCACUCUCCGGCUCUGCGGUGGGAUAAAAGCGACGGUGAGGAUUAGAGGAGAGUUCUUCAGCUUGCGGGAUAAGCUGAUCUUCCACACUUCAGAUAUCCAUGACCAGCAUUGCGAAAAACCAUUUGAAAUUCGAGAGAUGAAUGAACGUUCCAGGUUGGCCUAUAAACUGACGUCACGACUGAACAGAUCUGCGAAGCUGGUGAGCAUUUGUAAUCUUUUUUACACCAUUAAUUAAUCAAUGAACAAAUCAGAUACUUGCCUGUUCUCGUUUCCUCUGAGCUUGUGACUUCUUUCAUGCUAUAACAUGAGUGUCAGCACAUGAAGAAUUAUGUGCGAGUUGGCCCAAACGAAUGAUCUGCAGGUCUCAAAUAAAUGAGUGGAAAGACUGCGGCUCUGAAAUAUGGAAUCGGGGAUGGCUUUCAAACAAUAAAGAGAAUAAAUAAAGGGACCUUUCACCCAAAGGAAAAUGUCCCGCUUAAUAUUCAUUAACGCUGAGCAGUAGGGAGUCAGCAAGAAAUGUUCUCUGACAUUGAUACAGCCGUGAAAUAUUCAAGAGAUGAUGUUCUCCAGUCUCAGGGGGCAUGUGAGAGACAGUUUGUCUUUUGUAUCUGAAGUUUUAUGAAGAAUGUUCCUCCUUCCUCUUGAUCAUUGGAAAGGCCAUGGGAAAGACCUGCCCGUGAUUUGCCCUCUGCCAUUAGACGUAUUCAGUGCCACGCUUCUCAACUGACGAGAACCGCUGCUUUAUAUAUACUCUGUGGUUUGAACGGUAUUGUGUGUAUUCUGAUCUCAGUGCAUCACACA
RNAcentral lists this long non-coding RNA (1222 nucleotides) under Carassius auratus (goldfish). Its description in RNAcentral is "lncRNA (ENSCARG00000058489.1)". Lineage: Eukaryota; Metazoa; Chordata; Actinopteri; Cypriniformes; Cyprinidae. The record is from RNAcentral.